AUGGGUAUAGCUCAGCCGGUAGAGCAGCGGUCUCCAAAACCGCAUACGGAGGUUCGAGUCCUCCCCCCAUG
RNAcentral lists this transfer RNA (71 nucleotides) under Lawsonibacter asaccharolyticus. Its description in RNAcentral is "tRNA-Trp". It matches the Rfam family "tRNA". From Rfam's summary of the family: Transfer RNA (tRNA) molecules are approximately 80 nucleotides in length. Their secondary structure includes four short double-helical elements and three loops (D, anti-codon, and T loops). Further hydrogen bonds mediate the characteristic L-shaped molecular structure. tRNAs have two regions of fundamental functional importance: the anti-codon, which is responsible for specific mRNA codon recognition, and the 3' end, to which the tRNAs corresponding amino acid is attached (by aminoacyl-tRNA synthetases). tRNAs cope with the degeneracy of the genetic code in two manners: having more than one tRNA (with a specific anti-codon) for a particular amino acid; and 'wobble' base-pairing, i.e. permitting non-standard base-pairing at the 3rd anti-codon position. The record is from RNAcentral. Lineage: Bacteria; Bacillati; Bacillota; Clostridia; Eubacteriales; Oscillospiraceae.